Molecule: long non-coding RNA, 296 nt
Organism: Suricata suricatta (meerkat)
Lineage: Eukaryota; Metazoa; Chordata; Mammalia; Carnivora; Herpestidae
Exons: 3
Source: RefSeq, a predicted model, not a curated record
UUAGUGUUGGUGAUGGUGACAACUAUUACGGCCAUUGGUGAGCUGUCCUAAGACCAGUGUCCACUGUGGGUAAACACCGUUCCUCAGACAGCCUCAUGCUGAAUCCACAGGAGAUGUAGAAGCAAACAGAACUUGAUGGACAAGGAUGGGCGAUCCUGAGUCAGGCGCGUGCCCCAUGGAACCGAAUCUACUGUACACAUGCAUUUCCCCAAAUAUCCUCCAGAAAGGAGAUUUUAAAACCCAGAACACAGCUAGCACGAGAGAGAGUGCAAGUGGGGAGAGAAUCUUAAGCUUCA